UUAUUAUAUAAUAAUAAGGAUAUUAAAAAUUAAUAGAGAUCAGCCAUGAGAAAUGAAAAUAAAUUAAAUUCACGAUUGAUGAAUUAAUAAAGUAUGGAAAUUUUUUUUUGGUGGCGACAAGUUUUACAAACAAAACAGGGACACGAUUAAUCAAAUUUCCUUCGGAAAUUUGAACCCCGUACUCCGCACGUGCCGUAACGAAAACUACAAUAUGCAAAUUAUACGCUUAUGCGAGCGGUGAUUCGAGCACACAAUAAACUAAAAAGAAUAUAAUAAUAAAAUAAAAUAAAAUAAAAACACUAAUAAAAGAUUAACUAAAUGUAGACACACGUAAUACUACUACAUAAGGGCGACUAGUACACUAACAAAUAGGGAUGUAAAUACAUAUAUAAGAAACGCGACGAUACAUUGAAUAGAAUCAAUUAAUAAAUUAAAAGUAUAUUUGGACCAUUAAAUAAUACUGAUGAAUGAACCGAACGAACUGCGAACCGAUCAAAAUAAAGAACGAAUGUAUGGGACGUAAGAGCAAGGGAACAACGUUGACAUAGCGCAAACCGGGUGAUGUGCUCUGUAUAAACCAAAAAAGCGGAGUAUAACGCGCAUCGAAUUGUCUAGAUAACCGCAACAGCAGCGGAGAUACGUUCAAUUAGAUUUAUUUGGUCUUGAGAAUUGAGGACUGUAAAUGCAUUGGAUUUGACAGGGAACAGCGUUGACAUAGCGCAAACCGGCUGAUGUGCUCUGUAUUAAGUAGCAAAUGCGGAGUACAACGCUCAUCGAAUUGUCUACGUACUCCCAAUAGCAACGGAGGUAUGUUCAACUGAAUAUUUGGCCUUGAAAAUUGAAAAAACUGUAAUUGUACGGGAUUUGACAGGGAAAGAGUUGAGAUAGUGCAAGCCGACUGAAGUACGCUGUAUUUAGCAGCAAACGUGCAGUAUAACGUGCGUAGAAUUGUCGACAUAUCCCCAAUAGCAGCGGAGAUACGUUCAAUUGAAUAUUUAACUUUGAAAAUUGAAAACUGUAAAUGCACUGGAUUUGACAGGGAACAGAAUUGACAUAGCGCAAAAAGGAUGAUGUGCUAUAUAUUAAGCAGUAGAUGUGGAGUAUAACGCGCAGUGAAUUGUCGACAUAUCCUCAAUAACAGCGGAGAUACGUUCAAUUGAAUAUUUAACCGUGAAUAUUGAAAACGAUGAUUGGAUUAGAUUUGGCAUACACUAUAUAACGUAAUUUGUUAUAGCGUUGUAUUAUAUGACGCAUACCAUAUAACGUGAUAUAUUAUAAACAAAAGUCAAAAAGUCACAGCUAGAUAACUAACUUUCUAAUUCGACAGCACCGGUUCGUCAAACAUAUGGGAGGAUUAGCGUCGAGUAUAAUUGAAAAUGGAAGGACGUCGGGAGAUCAUAAAGCUUAAGCGAGCGUAAAAAUGGCCGAUGUGAUAAAUUCGUUGCUAUCCGAGUACUACUUGCCGAAUAGGAAUCGAAACGCAAUUACUAUAGCACCGUAGAUAGUAAUUAACAUCUGAAUGAUAAUUUCGAAACAAUUGAGAGAUCAACGAUACUUUAGAAAUUCAAGUCACUUCGAAUAUGGCACUCCUGCUCGGGCAACCGAGGUGAACGGACGUAUCUAGUCGGUCGUGUGCUCCGGUGAAGUGUUCGAAGAGAAACAAAGUUAAUAGUGAUAGAGAGGUGAAGUUUAAAAAUGCAGCAGAUACCAACAAUAAAAAUUACAACCAAAGGCGAAAUGCACUAUAUAAGCAGGUCGGUAGACUCACCAAGCCUAAAACAACAACAACAAAGCAACAACAACCAAAACGAUAUGGUUAUAGAAGAAACGGAAGAGCAGUGGAGACAGGAUGGAGCGAAACCACGAUAACGAAAGAUAUUACCAGGACGAAAACUGGAAACUAGCAAAGACAAACAAGAAACGUAAAACGACACCAGGCACAAGUGCCGCAGAAAAUCUAGAUACAGAAAAUACAGCGAUGUCUGCAAGAAUUACCACUAAGAAAUUCCUUCAGCUUGCUAACUGAAGCAAUAGAUGCUGACCCGAUAAGCAAAGCUACAACUAAUUCAAGCCACAUUACAAAACCGCCACCAAUAUUUGUCGAGGCCCAAAUAAUAGACCCGCUUAUUGAACUACUAAAUAAUAUAGUCGGGAAAGAUAAUUAUAUAAUAAAACGAACUAAACUAGAUCAAGCAAAGAUCCAAACUAACACGCCUGAAAUCUAUAGAAAGGUGACAAAAGCGUUAAAAGAAAAAAAAAAUGCUGUGUACCACACGUAUCAGCUCAAAACGGAAAGGAGCUACAAGAUAGUUAUAAGAGGCUUGCACCCUAAAAGUAACAUAAAAAAAAAUUAACCGACGAACUAGCAAAAAUUGGUCAUCAAACAAGAUCAAUAAACAACAUAACUAGAUAUGACACGAAGCAACCAUUACCACUUUUCUUAAUUGAACUGCAACCCAGAAACAAUAAUAAAGAAAUAUAUGAAAUCAAAAAAAAUAUUAAACACAAUAGUAACAGUGGAACUACCACGCUACAAAAAUGCCAACAAUAUGACCACACAAAAAAUUAUUGCAACAGAAUCCCAGCAUGCGUUAAAUGUGAAAAAAAAGCCACUUAACAAAACACUGCCCAUACUUAGGAAAAAUUGAAGAAAUUAGAUGCUACAACUGUAACGGAAAACACCCAGCCAGCUAUAAAGGAUGUGAAAUCAGGAAACAAUUACAGCGUAAACUGUUUCCACCACUUCGCAAUAGAUCAAUCAAUAACCACAAAUCACAACAAAAUAUAACAGAUAGUGAUACAACAUUGAUAGCAAACAUCAAUCCCCAAAAUGUACAUCACGCUACGAACAAUAACCACAACAACUCCAACACCUUUGAUACGCGAAGCUACGCGCAAGUAACCAACCAAUCAGCGCACAUAGACAACCAAAAUCAGAGCAAUAGUAACAAUGACGCUACAGAAAUCAAGGAACUGCUCAAGCAACCCAUCGAUAACACCGAAAUGCUAACUAAAAUGAUAAGCGAGCAAAAUGCAGUUCUCAGGCAACAAACACAACAGAUCACGGUCAUGCUCCAAUUACUUACAAACAUGUUAAGCAAAAAAUAAAAACGGACACGCUAAAAAUAGCUGCCUGGAACUCAAACGGCCUACAUCAUAGGGCCCUAGAAACUAAAACAUUCCUGUACAACAACAAUAUCGACAUACUACUUGUUUCAGAAACACACUUCACUACAAAAAGCUACAUGAAAAUACUACACUAUAUAUGAUACCAAACACCCCCCAGGAAAAGCACACGGAAGGACCGCAGUGAUAAUAAGAAACGACAUAAAACACUACUUACACAGCCAAGUCAGUAAGGAAUAUAUCCAAGCAACCACCGUUACAGUACAAACUAGCAGCAGUCAUUUUCAGUUGUCAGCAGUAUAUGUACCGCCGGGACACAAAAUUACAACACAAAUGUGGGAAGAGUACUUUCAACAUUUAGGUGACAAGUUUAUUUCAACGGGAGACUAUAACUCAAAGCACACACUAUGGGGAUCAAGAAUUACUUCACCUCGAGGUAGAACCCUGGAAAAACACAUUAGAAACAAUAACCUCAAUAUAUUAUCCACAGGAAGACCGACAUACUGGCCGACAGACCUGAGCAAAAUACCUGACCUACUCGAUUUUGCAGUUACAAAGAGACUAAACGUAAAUAAACUAAAAAUAGCACCCAGUCUAGAGCUUAGUUUCGAUCAUACACCCAUAAUAAUUACAUACAGAAACAAACCAAUAAUUUAUAACAAUCCAGAUAUACUAUGAAAUAAAACCACCAAAUGGCAAUCAUUUAAAGAAAUAAUCGAGAGUAAGAUCAACUGCAACAUCCCAUUAAAAACACCCGAACACAUUGAACAGGCAGUAACAACAUUUACAGAAACUAUUCAAGAAGCAGCAUGGGCAACCACCAUACCUGAAGCAACCAAAAGACAAACAAAAAUAAUUCCUCCAGACAUCCUUGAAAAAAUCAGAGAAAAAAGAAAAGCGAAAGCAAAAUGGCAAAAACAUAGAUCACGAGAAAACAAAAAAAAACACCUAAACAAACUUGCAAAGGAAACAAAAAGCAAAAUAAAAGAGCACAAUAAUAACGAAUUCACAAAGUUCAUAGAGACACUCUCUGCACACGAGAGCUCCAACUACUCCCUAUGGAAAGCCACGAAAAAAAUAAA
Long non-coding RNA from Bombus pyrosoma, 4208 nucleotides. RefSeq lists it as uncharacterized. Lineage: Eukaryota; Metazoa; Arthropoda; Insecta; Hymenoptera; Apidae. The transcript is spliced from 2 exons. The record is from RefSeq and is a predicted model, not a curated record.